AGAAGGCUGUCUCUUCAGCACAUGAUUAGUUUCAUCACUGUCUUCGGGUGGCCAAAUCCCAGUGGUUGUCCCACGAGAGGCCUUGUUGGGAAAGUUGCCUCGGAAUUGGUUGAACAUUGGAAAAACACCGAGUGGACUGCAAUAUCAUGAAAACAUGAUAACCAUGGACCGUGCACCUUUGGGUGAAAUCAAACUGGCGCUUGUCACGAAUUGAAAGACUACUUCUGCAGAACAUUCGUUUUCAUCGUGGUCAUUUUAUCUUCAUCUGAUCGCAAUUUUACUUGACAAUCUAGCACUUGGACACUGCAUUUCAGACCCCCACAAACACUUAAACACUCCACACACUCGACUCAAUCCAAGAGAAAGACCAACACUUUUGAAUUGAGAUGAGUCUCACUAACUUAACAUCCUCACCAAGGACCAAACACGGAGCUGGGGUCGACUUUUUAUCUGGGAGUGAACUUGUAGACUUGAAAGAAAGAGAGCACCUUUUUUGACGCUUUAGACUUAUUCUGAACAGCCGAUAACAUGAGUGUAUGUAUGAGGAACGCCGGAAAUUGUCGGCUUGAGUCAAAUUCAAAAAUUAGACGUUUCGGCUUUGUCAUUGAUAAAGAGCGAUCUCGUUUGAAGUGAACACAUUGAUUUGACACUUUGAACGGCUGCGUUUGAGAUAAAAGCCGAGUGAAACAUCCUCACGAUCCAAAUGUGGAGACUUCCAGUGAGCUCGCCAUUGAAGCAUUCUAGGCACCAAUUUCAAUCCGUUUCAACCCUGAUAUCAAGUUGAUAACGAUGAAGUCAGGCAAGUCUGCUGUAUUUCUAAUCGAUCUGGAAAUACGAUGAUAUCCCAAGGCAAAUAACAAACUCUCACAGGAAAUUUGGCCAUUUUCAGAGAGACUCCGAAGCACUCGAAUUGAACAUUCGUUGGUGCACUUGAAGCAACAAGUUCAAUGGCUUCCAUUUGAACGAUUCUACAAGGCAGAAGUCGGAGCCGUCAUGCUUGAGCGGAAUAUUUUAAGCUUCAGACAUUGUUCAAGUACUCCGACAGUCUCGGGAGGAGUUGUCACCACUAACAAUGGGCACUUUUUCGAUACCACUUCACUUGGGUUUCUUUUCGUUUCAUUGACAAUCAUAUAUAGAUAUAUGUGCUGCAAAUAUUUUAUUUAUUUUUGGAGAUGCCCUUGCUCGGAAAGAACACUUUGUUGCACUUA
Molecule: long non-coding RNA, 1208 nt
Organism: Tigriopus californicus
Lineage: Eukaryota; Metazoa; Arthropoda; Copepoda; Harpacticoida; Harpacticidae
Exons: 2
Source: RefSeq, a predicted model, not a curated record